Molecule: ribosomal RNA, 497 nt
Filed under: uncultured bacterium
Lineage: Bacteria
Description: partial 16S ribosomal RNA
Rfam family: Bacterial small subunit ribosomal RNA
Source: RNAcentral
GAUGAACGCUGGCGGCGUGCCUAAUACAUGCAAGUCGAGCGAACAGAUGAGGAGCUUGCUCCUCUGACGUUAGCGGCGGACGGGUGAGUAACACGUGGAUACCCUACCUAUAAGACUGGGAUAACUUCGGGAAACCGGAGCUAAUACCGGAUAAUAUAUUGAACCGCAUGGUUCAAUGGUGAAAGACGGUGUUGCUGUCACUUAUAGAUGGAUCCGCGCCGCAUUAGCUAGUUGGUAAGGUAACGGCUUACCAAGGCAACGAUGCGUAGCCGACCUGAGAGGGUGAUCGGCCACACUGGAACUGAGACACGGACCAGACUCCUACGGGAGGCAGCAGUAGGGAAUCUUGCGCAAUGGGCGAAAGCCUGACGGAGCAACGCCGCGUGAGUGAUGAAGGUCUUCGGAUCGUAAAACUCUGUUAUUAGGGAAGAACAGAUUUGUAAGUAACCAUGCACGUCUUGACGGUACCUAAUCAGAAAGCCCCGGCUAACUACGUG